GACGAACGCUGGCGGCGUGCCUAAUACAUGCAAGUCGAGCGCAGGAAGUCAUCCGAACCCUUCGGGGGGACGGUGACGGAAUGAGCGGCGGACGGGUGAGUAACACGUAAAGAACCUGCCCUCAGGUCUGGGAUAACCACGAGAAAUCGGGGCUAAUACCGGAUGGGUCAUCGGACCGCAUGGUCCGAGGAUGAAAGGCGCUUCGGCGUCGCCUGGGGAUGGCUUUGCGGUGCAUUAGCUAGUUGGUGGGGUAACGGCCCACCAAGGCGACGAUGCAUAGCCGACCUGAGAGGGUGAUCGGCCACACUGGGACUGAGACACGGCCCAGACUCCUACGGGAGGCAGCAGUAGGGAAUCUUCCACAAUGGACGAAAGUCUGAUGGAGCAACGCCGCGUGAACGAUGAAGGCCCUCGGGUCGUAAAAGUUUCUGUUGUAAGGGAAAGAAACAAAGUGCCACAAGGCAAAUGGCGGCCACCCUUGACGGUACCCUACAAAA
RNAcentral lists this ribosomal RNA (497 nucleotides) under Bacillus sp. oral taxon B77. Its description in RNAcentral is "bacterial SSU rRNA". It matches the Rfam family "Bacterial small subunit ribosomal RNA", at positions 28 to 487 of the family's 1533-position model. The record is from RNAcentral. Lineage: Bacteria; Bacillati; Bacillota; Bacilli; Caryophanales; Bacillaceae.